Long non-coding RNA from Sebastes umbrosus (honeycomb rockfish), 254 nucleotides. RefSeq lists it as uncharacterized. The record is from RefSeq and is a predicted model, not a curated record. The transcript is spliced from 3 exons. Lineage: Eukaryota; Metazoa; Chordata; Actinopteri; Perciformes; Sebastidae.
UGAAGCCUGAAGACUGAAGACUGAAGACUGAAACAGGUCAGUGUUCCUGUUUGACCUGUCAGACUGACUUCAGAUCAGAAGAUGAGUGACUGUGUGGAGGAAGAGGAGGACAGAGCAAAGUCUCCAGUACCCAGCUGUCUGUCUAUGAAGAGUGACCGGUCCAUGAUGAGACCUCCAGACUUCAGUGAUGAACCUGGACCCUCAGAGUCAAAAGAGAAGAAGAGGAGUCAUGCUUCUGUGGAGGAGCGAUGUCC